This 450-nucleotide ribosomal RNA is filed under the name uncultured cyanobacterium. RNAcentral describes it as "bacterial SSU rRNA". It matches the Rfam family "Bacterial small subunit ribosomal RNA", at positions 28 to 524 of the family's 1533-position model. Lineage: Bacteria; Bacillati; Cyanobacteriota. The record is from RNAcentral.
GAUGAACGCUGGCGGCGUGCUUAACACAUGCAAGUCGAACGAACCUUCGGGUUAGUGGCGGACGGGUGAGUAACGCGUGGGAAUCUGCCCUCAGGAGGGGGAUAACGGCUGGAAACGGCCGCUAAUACCCCCUAUGCCGAGAGGUGAAAUGAAUUUCGCCUGAGGAUGAGCCCGCGUCUGAUUAGCUAGUUGGUGAGGUAAGAGCUCACCAAGGCAUCGAUCAGUAGCUGGUCUGAGAGGAUGAUCAGCCACACUGGGACUGAGACACGGCCCAGACUCCUACGGGAGGCAGCAGUGGGGAAUUUUCCGCAAUGGGCGAAAGCCUGACGGAGCAACGCCGCGUGAGGGAUGAAGGCCUCUGGGCUGUAAACCUCUUUUCUCAAGGAAGAAGAUCUGACGGUACUUGAGGAAUAAAGCCACGGCUAAUUCCGUGCCAGCAGCCGCUGUAAU